Molecule: long non-coding RNA, 341 nt
Organism: Rhagoletis pomonella (apple maggot)
Lineage: Eukaryota; Metazoa; Arthropoda; Insecta; Diptera; Tephritidae
Exons: 2
Source: RefSeq, a predicted model, not a curated record
CGGGUGCCUGCCUGAAAGCUGCACCGCUAGAAUUCACUGAUCUUUUAGCUCUGAAGAUAUAAUCACUUCAGCUGAACUUUAGUAAAUUUGGUGAAACUGCCGAGCAACAUUCUGGCCAACCCUUUGUAAGAAACUUGUACAGAUACGAGUAUAAAAAAAAACCAUAGAUUGAGCUCAGAAAUUCUUAAAAACAUCCAGAUUUAUUACUACAUACUUCAAAUCAGCAUUUAAAGUUUUAUAAAGAAGAAGGUCAUAAUCGUAAAAAUCUGCGCCUCUUUGCUUACCGUGGCCCCAUUUGAGGUGUUGUUAAAAUAUAUUGUAUGUGUUGUUAAAAAAAAAAA